This is a long non-coding RNA of Felis catus (domestic cat), 347 nucleotides long. RefSeq lists it as uncharacterized. The transcript has 2 exons. The record is from RefSeq and is a predicted model, not a curated record. NCBI's taxonomy places the organism in Eukaryota, Metazoa, Chordata, Mammalia, Carnivora, Felidae.
GGACCCCCCUGAGCACACGUGUGUGGAUCCGAGCGCCACGAGACACUGCUGCGGGGGCUCUAGUUCCCCGUGGACACCGGUGUGGGGUUCUGGGCUCCUCUGGACACGUGGGGAGCUUCAGCAGCCUGCACGACAGCGGGCGAUCCUCUCUGGCUCAGUUUCCCAUCCGUAAAAGGUGGAGUUAAAAGGACCAGUCUCAAAGGAGAGGUUGCAAAUGAAUCAUUCAUUCGCAAAAACCACUUAGUAAGCACCUGCUAGACUCGUCUCUGGCCUCGAAAGGAGGCCCCAGGCCAGAAGAGGAGACAAACCCAGAAACGAGUAUAAAAUUGCUUUGUGAUGUUACAGGG